Austrofundulus limnaeus is the source of this 577-nucleotide long non-coding RNA. RefSeq lists it as uncharacterized. The transcript is spliced from 3 exons. The record is from RefSeq and is a predicted model, not a curated record. NCBI's taxonomy places the organism in Eukaryota, Metazoa, Chordata, Actinopteri, Cyprinodontiformes, Rivulidae.
AAUCAAACUAAUGUCAUUUACUGGUUUCUUAAGUUCUCACAUUGUGCUUGAGCAGGCACCGCCACUUCCCUUCACACGUCUGCGCCUCUCAGAGACCGACACCAAGUGAGACAUUCCUCUGAGGGAGCCAUGAAGAGGAAUGCGCGGAUCAUUCAAGGUUCACUUGAGCCAAAUGAAAAGAAACGGGCGCUUUCAUUCACUUGCUUCGAAAGGUUAUGAGUACAGGCGAAUCAAGUUAUUUGGCACUUAGUGAAAAGUGCCAGGGCAGAAGGAGCUCGUCUUGGCACGGAGGGAGGAUGAAUCCCAAACAGCCUGUCGACUUCACUCCCCGACGCUCCUCUGCCUGCCCCACUGACUGAGAUUUUAAUAAAUGAUGACAUGUGGUAUGAAUAAACCACAAGGCAGUGCUACUGCCAAAAGGCAGAGAGAGAUACGAAGGUAACACACAAGAGGUGAUAAAUAAGUCAACAAAAGCUCAUUUGUUCUGCUUGGCUCCUACAGUCAUUCUGCUAUUGCAUUCAAUAAGAUGUGAGCAGAGUGUAGGUAGUUAAUUUUUAAUUUUUUUGUAUUUCAAAGA